This is a long non-coding RNA of Eriocheir sinensis (Chinese mitten crab), 8188 nucleotides long. RefSeq lists it as uncharacterized. The transcript has 5 exons. The record is from RefSeq and is a predicted model, not a curated record. NCBI's taxonomy places the organism in Eukaryota, Metazoa, Arthropoda, Malacostraca, Decapoda, Varunidae.
AAUAGUUAAGUGUCAAAAAGUGGAAAAUACAAUGUGGUGAACACGAUAAUCUGACGUCGAUGCGAGGAAGCUGUCAGCCCAGGCUGUCACCAGCGGCGUGGCGGGGCGGGAGGCGUCGCGGGGCUCAGCUCACCCACACACUCACACACACUCGUCAGUAACAGCCCCAACGGGAGGAAAGGAUACGUCGCCCUGCCCAGCCCAGGAGCCCCAGCCCCCCGCCGUGUGAACUAACAGCUUCAAGUGGAAGUGUUGACUGGUCACGGUAGCAGAUUGCAUCAGCAACAACACCAACACCAUGGUGUCUGCAACAGCAAUGUGCAUGCACCCACAGUAAGCCUAAGCCUGCACAGCCCCACAAGAUCUCUUUGUUCACUGUUAUACUACUGUGAACAUGACCAGGAAGUUGUCUAAAGGAGAGGAGUGUAUGUGUGUGGUAAACAGUGAUUUGUCAUUGUUGUCUUGCCUAUCAGAACACUAGGAGGAGGAGGACCUCAUGCUGACCUAUUUCAAACUUUGCUACUUCACAAACAAGGGAUGUUAAGACACUUAUCUACAAUGCAUCAAAAGUAGUAACAAACAUCCAUGAAGUUGUGUGUGUACGAAGGUUAUGAAUUGGGAUGGAAGAGUUCAAGCAGUUUCCAUGUGAUGAGUGUGGGGAAGUGUUGACAAGCAGCAGCAGGCAUGUCCAGCACUCGCUGUCUCACCGAGGAGUGACAGUGUUUUGCUGCGAGCAAUGUGAAGAAGUGUUCCUCAGUGAGAGCCAGCUGGACCAACACCUAGAGCUUCAUCCCAACACUACCAAAAAAUUUAAGUGUGAGGUCUGUGGAAAGUGUUCUGCAAAAAAGGGUGACCAUAGGGCACACAUACUGUCGCACUAUGGAGUGAAGGAGUUUGUGUGUCAGGAGUGUGGAAAGGCAUUUGGCACAAGGAAGGGUCUUGUCCAACACAGUAAGAUCCAUUUGGAUGUCAAGGAGUUUCAGUGUGAGGUGUGUGGGGAUGAGUUCCGGUGGAGGGGUCACCUCACAUCACACAUGAAACUUCAUAAUAGGAAGAGCAAGUACAAGUGUGACAAGUGUGGGAAAAAUUUCUACCGCAAGUCCCAGUUGGCCCAUCAUACCAUGAUUUGUGUCAACAGAGUGGAACAAAACAGACACAUGUGUGAUGAAUGUGGUGCAUCAUACACAUCAAGGAGUCAUCUUGAGGAGCAUAUGAAGGGUCACAUCAAGGCACAGAUGCAUAUGUGUGAGGAGUGUGACAAAGUGUUCACCUACAAGAGUCACCUCACCUUGCACAUCAACACUCACCACCAAGGGAUGGGCAGGCACUCAUGCCCUGAGUGUGGCCAAGUGUUUGGCAAAAAGAGUCAUCUCACCGCACACAUGAACAUUCACUACCACUCUGACCCUGACGAACCUGAACCAACCUAUGUUCUGUGCUGAUGAGGACAGGUAAUUAUUAUGGAGUCACAGACAGCAGCAAACCACCACAAGGACAGGCAAUGGUUGCAACAUGUCCUGCAGGUAUCAAGGGCAGCCAUGCACACUCCGUAAAUCAGGAGCGCAUCAUAUCACCUGUCUGCUGACUCCUCCUGAGAGGGACCAACAUUCACAGAAGUUCCCGACACUUUACAAGCUAGUGCUGGACCCAUAAGGUUGGUCAGUAAAUGGGUACCUGGAGAAAAGUGUGGUAACCUAGAUCUCACACCUGCCUUGUGUCCCAGGGUGAUGGGUUCCCACCCAGCACAGGCUCAGGACCAAUGAGGCACUUGAGGCCAGUGGCAGCUAUAUCGUAUGCACCUAAUGUCACCUUACCUUACCAUGGAGUGGUGUUCUGGCUUUGCCAAAGAGGAGUAACCCAGGGCCAGGUCCAGGAUACAUGAACUUGUAGUUCACUUCAGGUCCAGUCGAGAUAGAUGCACACUCUGCUUGCUGUCUUACUGUUCCCCCCAUUGGUCAGGCAGCAAGAAGUGGCUUGGCAUAUGUAAACAAUUCACAUAAAAAUUGUGGUGAGGCUGUAAUGAGGUGCAGCAGUCAACACAGUCCUAUGUGCAUCAGCUGAGCACACAACUUGGAGCUUUCAGUUGAGAUGAGGGAAGUUUCUUGCAACAUUGACUUGUAAAAUUCCAUAAUUACUAAUAGUCUGUACAAGUUUUCAUUAACACCAUUUUCUUAUUUAUUAAUGGGUGCCCAGGGGUUUCAUACUCUCAGGGGUUUUGUGUCCCUGCCCAUGGCUAGCAGUCAAUCCAACCCCUUGCCUGGGUUGAUUGAAAAGGGGCCCACAAUCCCUCCCUGUAAAACUGUAACCAAGCUGAAAACAUGAUAGAAAGUACUGUUGGGGUCAAUGCUCCCUCCGCAAUCUUGAUCCGGUUCUGCUGGAGGGCUUGACCAGGAGACCUAAAGUCCAAAGGGCUUUGCCUCCUCGUGCAGUGCCUUGAGAGCCAUCACCAGAUCCUUCAGCAACUCCGCAAGAACUACUGCAUCACUGGCAAAAACAAGGUCAGUGCCUUGGCUUUGCCAUGCCCCACAACUAUACCUAUUGCCCAGUCCAUACUAGUGUUGAAGAGUGGUAGGGUAAGGACACAGCCUUGCCUCACCCACAUUGACAGGAAAGAAGCUACCCCCCCCCCCCCCCCACCACCACCACCCACCUCAAUUCAUAGUCCUUUCAAUCCCUGAGUACAGACCAAUCAAUCAACCAAGGCUCCUUGCAGGAAUCCCACGGAGUCACGGGAGAUGUCAGAGUUCCUCAUGAUGCACUGAAUCAAACACUUUCUAGGGAUCGACAUAGGCUGCAAGCAUCCCCUGUCAAAACACAUCAGCGCUCCACGUAUACACAAAGCACUACGAUAGUCAAUUGUUGCCUUCCCAGGUAUGAAUCCAGACUGCUCAGGUCUCUGCAGCUUCAGCAGCUGGUUAUAAAUCUGUAUCAGCAAUAGAUAGGCAAGCACCUUGCCUGGCACACUGUGCAGCGUAAUACCACAGUACAGUAGUUGUUGCAGUCCUGGCGGUCCCCUUUCCCUUUCCAGAUAGGGACGACCAACCCCCUCUUCAAGAUUACCAUAUGGCAGUCAAGACUGCAUGCAACCUGUAGAUCAUGGCCUCACCUCCAAAUUUGAGUGGCUACAGGCAGAUUUUAUAGAUACCAGGUGCCUUUCUACCCCUCAACUUUGCCACAGUCUCUCUGUCCUUGUCAAGAGAGAGUGGGCUUUUGUCUAUGGGUGUAUCACCAUCUGCUAUCUGCAACCCAGCAGCUGGAAGCUGCCCACUAGGAGGGUCUGCUAUAUAUGACUGCUCAAGUACUCAGCCCAACGAGCCCUCUGCCCAUCCAUGUCCGACAUGAGACAGCCAUCUGCUGUUUGGACGGCACUCACCUGAGAGGGAGGCCUGGAGCAAAGCUUCUUCAGGGCUCGGGAAGCAGGUUGGUGGUCAUUUGCAUCGAGAUGGACCUUGAUUUCUUCAGCAAGACUCCUGACAUACCUCUCCUAGUCUCCACAGGAGAGCUCUAGUCCUAUGCAACAGAGCCUUAUAUUGGUACCGAUUCCCAGCAAGCCUGGCAGCUCGAUAUUCUCCAGUGUCUCAUCUGAGGCAAAACCACUCCUUGAUCUUGGGCCAGAAGCCAACCCUGCUCAUGGUUAUUUCUGUAAGAGCCAACCCCAAGUGGAGGAGGUCAAAAGGACACCCACAGUGUUUAUGGCUUGAGUUAGUCAAUAGACCCUACCAUGAGGUACAGUACUGUCUCCAGGAUUGCGAGUUUCAAGUUUGCGAUUCACCAAGUUUGCGAUAGGGACCCCCAAAAAUAUAUUUUUAUUGAAAACUGAAAUUGCGAUAUGACCCGAAAGGAAAAGGAAAAGGCUGCUAAAGCUUUUUUUUUUUUCACACUUUGUUGUGGUCCUUGACUCCUGUUCUCGCUCUUACCCGCCCCCUGGGCCUUUCCGUUGGCUGCGGGAAGCAUGGUGAGUGGGAUUCGGGCAGCCAGGCGCAUGUGUGCAAGCAGCCCUGACCGUGCGGUGGGCCUGAGCAGCUGACGGGCGGCUGAUGAUGGCCAUGAUGAUGAUGAGUGUCGGCGGCAUUGGCGCCACCCAAACGGCAUUUUCACUGGGGCCCGCGUGUGUGUGGCUGUGCCCGUUGUGGGCCCAGGUUCCUCAGUUUGCCAGUUCUCACUUUCCACAUGUUGCUUGGGACCCCUUUCCUUUCUUCCAUCUCUUUUUCAAACAGAAGAGAUGGAAGAAAAUAAAGGGGUCCUGUGCAACAUGUGGAAAACAAGAAUCAGCAAAUUGAGAAGCCCAUACCCACAACAAACACAGCCACACACACACACACAGGCCCCAACAUAAACACCGUUCAGGUGGCGCCGAUGCAAAGGCCAUGCCGCCGACACUCAUCACCACCAUCAGCUGCACGGGCCGUCUGCACACAUGCGCAAGAUGUCGACGUUUUUCAAUUUUCCCCAUAAGAAUAAUGGUUCAAAGUUUGCAAUUUCAACGUUUGCGACCCGCAACGUUGACCUAUUUAUCGCAAACUUGGAGACAGUACUGUCCUUGGGAUGGGAAGGGGGCCUGCAUAGAGACUUGCCCGAAGGAAUCCUAUGUUUGGCGUCGUAGGGUGGACAAGGCGACACACCCUCUGGCAUGUGUCCUCAUUCACUAUCAUCCACACAGCUCCAGUUGUGAUUGUUUUAAUUAUUAGAUAUACAUACUAGAAAAGACCAAUUGUACAUUUUAAAUUCCAGAUUCCUACUGUAGCUUUUCUCCAGCUCAUUCCUGUCAUCAACAAUUUCCUAGUUUAAGUAGUCACAAGAAUUGCACUAGUUGUUGCCAUGUGGUAGUGUAGUGUGUGUGUGUAUAUAUAUAUAUAUAUAUAUAUAUAUAUAUAUAUAUAUAUAUAUAUAUAUAUAUAUAUAUAUAUAUAUAUAUAUAUAUAUAUAUAUAUAUAUAAUCAGGUAUGUCACCAACUGACUAUCCUGUAGUAAAACCAGAGGCAAUUCGCAGAUUGGGGGGAGGUAAGCCAAGGUCUUUAACCCCUUACUGUACUGUCACUUUUUCAUAUUUUCACCCACGUGGUGUCCAAUCUCAAUUGUUGCCCUUGCCACUUUUUCAGUGGUUUAUUAAAACUAAAGAAAUUAUUGUCUUAUUUGGAGAUGUAUUCUUUUUACUUUAUUUAUUACAUAUAAUUUUUGAUGUUUUGCCCAUCCAUCCAAGACCUGUGAUGAAAGCCAGAUAGUGACAAAGCAUUGCACGGUAAAGCCAUAAAAUAUGUGCCACGAUUUCUAAUUGCUGUAUAAACAUUUUAAGAAUUUAGUUUACUGCUCCUUAAAAAUUCAGAAUAGAAUUUACAAUAAAAUUGUAUUAAUAUGUAUUCUUUUUGUCUUAAAACACGUGUCAGGAGGCGAACAGUUAUUUUCAAGACUUUUCAAAUGCACAUUCCAGACAUUUUUUGCCUCUCCGUGCCCAAGCUGCCAGCUUCUUCUGGUUUCUAUAGCAAUUCAUGUAUUGGUGGACUACUGAUGUGAGUUUUGACAGAUGCUUGCAGCCUUUAUUGAUCUCAAGGCCUUGGAUUCAGUGCAUCGUGAUACACUGGGAUCUCCUGUGACUAUAGUCUGGCUCUGCUAAAUGUGUGGUUCAAGGUGCCAUGUGAGGAAUAAUCCAAGAGUACAGCAUUGCCACAUUUUUAACCUCACGUUGGUUGUCUCUCUCUCUCGUGGCGUUACCGCCAUGAGGAUUUGAAUGUAUUUUUUUCUUACUUAUGUCAGCUUAUUUUAACGUACAUUUCUUCAUAAUACAAUCUAAAUAUAAUUGUGAAACUUCUAACACAUCCCAAAACGUAAGGGAAACUCAAUAAUAAGUAUAGCAUUAUUUUUAGCACCACUGUAAAAUAUGUAUGCCACAUUUCUUUAUAUGCUUAUAAAAUAUCUUAUCCAUAAUAAGUUAACUGUUCUUUUAUAUGUUAUAAUACUAAGAUUAAAUGUGUAUGCAUACUUGCUGAUCAUAUUUGCCAGGGUUUUACUUAUCUUAUAACAUUUCUAUGUCACGGCUAGGAGACACGCGGCAACGCUGUACAAGGGGAUCCACUACGCUGAACCCACCCGCCCACAACCGCACGUUUAGUUGAGCCAGACUAUAGGAUUCCUGGCCUGUUCACAGUAGGGCAUUUAGACGUCUGUUAACCCCUUCACUCCAGGCUCUCGCUUACAGUCUCUGUAUGAUACACGGGCUGCCUGUGCAUGGAAAAUCUGUAUGUAGAAACUAUAGUAAAAUCAAUAUUUUUAUAUUUAAAAAUCAUUCAUGGAUAUUGUAUAUCAUAAGAACUUAUUGAUUUUUCUACAUUUUUACUGGUGUGUACAUUUAUUAUUAUCUAAUAUAAAUAUGAAGAGAAUAAGAAUAUAAAUUAUUACUGCCAAGAUUCUUCUUUAAGGAUAAAUGGCUUUCAAAACUAAAUUUGUACUUUAUUACAUAGUACAUAAUUUCUCUUCUCACAAAAAGAUAUAAAUAAUCUAUAAUAAUGUACACCUGUUCCCCAGUAUUUUCCCCAAUUGCACAAAGGCGGCUGCUAAGGAACUUUUGCAGCUCCACUACAAACAUUCCUGGUCUGCCCGUGGCCGAUUCAUCCUCUCCUAAGGAAAGGAUAAUGCAUACAUACAUGCAUUAAUAACAUCUCAUAUAGCAUCAUUCAUCAGCUAUACAUACUAUGAACUGUACAGUAAUUUACAUAAACUUCUUACAAACUGUAGUCAUUAGUCUCCCUUUCCUGUAGGGCACUCCUGUUAUUUUCUUUUUUAACUUUGGGUACUUAAGCAUAUCAUUAACAUGUGAAUUAUUUACCAUAGGGAUGGCACCCAAGUCUUAGGUGUGCAUUAUCAUGCUCUGGCAACCUGUUGUCACAUGGUGUGUUUUGAUUUCAUGGAUAAUAUAUGAUUGUCUACACGUAGGAAAUAGGUGUCCAUCAUUAAUAGGCAGGGAACAAUGUUGACUUUGAGUUUCAAAUAAUUAAUAAUUUGCAGAAAGCUGUUUUGUUAUAUUGUGCUUUGUGGAGGGCAGCACCUAAGUUAAUCAAUAAAUAUAUAAUCAGCAGUGGUGGGCACCGCUAACCAAAAAGUUAGCUUCGCUAUCUGGUACAUAAUUCACUAACUAAAAAGUUAGCUUCACUUACGCUAAACUGAUAAAGAAAUUAGUGUAAGCUAAUGCCAACCGCUGACUUUUUAUAUGGAUUUAGCUUUGGUUUAGUAUUUUGGCUCUGAAACUCUUCACUCUGGCGACACCAACGUCGACGUUCGACGGCGUCACCGUAUGGAAAGGGUUUGUCCUCUUCUAAACCUCUUAAUCCUCUUCUAAACCUCUUAAGAGGAAAUGGAAGAGGAUUAAGAGAAAUUUUGAGGAGAAUUAAGAGGUUUAGAAGAGGUUUAAUCCCCUUCCAUUUCCUCUUGACCCUUUCCAUACUGUGACGCCGACGUCUGCGUCACGGAUGGAAGGGUUAAAAACAGACCUAGUGACCUGAAAUUUCACAGCUUAGACAAGUUUCCCUAAUUAUUGUCCAAUUACCCUGCUUUAAGGCGUAAUUUUCCGAAAAGUGGAAGCCCAGGAAUUAUUGCGCCAUGUGGCUAAACUGGUGCUGUGUCUUCCCACAACGAACAAGAACAAAUCUCUAUGAAUUUUAGCGGACUUAAGUCAGAGGAGGAGGAACUACAUUUAGCGGAAGCUAAUUGGUCCGCUAACUGUUUUCAAAGUUAGCGAAAAUGCUAAUCAGCUAAAGAAAAAGUUAGCUUCCCUAAUUAGCGGAACUGUGCCCACCACUGAUAAUAUAAUCAGCAACCCUAUAAAACAACAAAACAGCUCUAUGCAACAUUACUUAUUUGAAACAAAAUCAGCUAUAACUGACAGUAUUCAUCAAUGUUCCCUGCGUAUUAUUAAUUAAUACCUAUUUCCUAUGUGUAGGCUAUCAUAUAUUAUCCACAAAAUUGGAUACACUGUGUGACAGGAAGUUGCCAGAACAUGACAUUGCACACCUCAGACUUUGGCACCACAUCUAUAGUGUCUUUAUCAAACUAGUAACACUCCUCAUUUGGACACUGGUGGCUGUAUCAAAGUGGACAGGUUAAGGAACUCUGUACAAUUCUAAGGGAUGCAUGUUCUACCUGCAGAUAUACAGCAGGAGUAUUCCUGUAUCUCCCAACCAAAUGUUGAUUAUUUUUU